This 513-nucleotide ribosomal RNA is filed under the name uncultured bacterium. RNAcentral describes it as "partial 16S ribosomal RNA". It matches the Rfam family "Bacterial small subunit ribosomal RNA", at positions 28 to 507 of the family's 1533-position model. The record is from RNAcentral.
GACGAACGCUGGCGGCGUGCUUAACACAUGCAAGUCGAACGAGAGCGUAGAGAAAGCUUGCUUUUUCUACAAUCUAGUGGCAAACGGGUGAGUAACGCGUAGACAACCUGCCCUACGGAUGGGGACAACAGCUGGAAACGGCUGCUAAUACCGAAUACGUUCCGAAAGUCGCAUGACUAUCGGAAGAAAGGAUGGCCUCUAUUUAUAACCUAUCGCCGGAGGAGGGGUUUGCGUCUGAUUAGCUAGUUGGGGGGGUAACGGGCCACCAAUGCGACGAGCCGUAGCCGGUCUGAGAGGAUGCGCGGCCACACUGGUCUUGGGACACGGUCCACACUCCUACGGGAGGCAGCCGUUGCGAACCCUCCGCAAUGGGCGCAAGCCUGACGGAGCAACGCCGCGUGAGUGAAGACGGCCUUCGGGUUGCAAGGCUCUGCUAUACGGGACGAAUAAUCUUGUGGUUAAUCCCCAUGAGUAGUGACGGUACCGUAAGAGAAAGCCACGGCUAACUACGUG